AGCCUCAUUGUAGAUGAGAAUGGGCACUCUAGAUCAGUUUCUAAAAUUGGUCAAUGUGGCUAAAUUGACACAGGUUAUGCUUCCAUCAUUGCAGUGAUGACAAUGAGAUCUGUAACAUUU
This is a small nucleolar RNA of Sciurus vulgaris (Eurasian red squirrel), 120 nucleotides long. The record is from Ensembl. Lineage: Eukaryota; Metazoa; Chordata; Mammalia; Rodentia; Sciuridae.